This 253-nucleotide ribosomal RNA is filed under the name uncultured bacterium. RNAcentral's name for it is "partial 16S ribosomal RNA". It matches the Rfam family "Bacterial small subunit ribosomal RNA", at positions 524 to 776 of the family's 1533-position model. The record is from RNAcentral.
UACGUAGGGUGCAAGCGUUGUCCGGAAUUAUUGGGCGUAAAGAGCUCGUAGGCGGUCUGUCGCGUCGGAUGUGAAAAUCCAGGGCUUAACCCUGGACCUGCAUUCGAUACGGGCAGACUAGAGUUCGGUAGGGGAGACUGGAAUUCCUGGUGUAGCGGUGAAAUGCGCAGAUAUCGGGAAGAACACCCGUGGCGAAGGCGGCUCUCUGGGACGGUACUGACGCUGAGACGCGAAAGCGUGGGGAGCGAACAGG